RNAcentral lists this ribosomal RNA (732 nucleotides) under uncultured bacterium. Its description in RNAcentral is "bacterial SSU rRNA". It matches the Rfam family "Bacterial small subunit ribosomal RNA", at positions 9 to 752 of the family's 1533-position model. The record is from RNAcentral.
GAGUUUGAACCUGGCUCAGGAUGAACGCUGGCGGCGUGCUUAACACAUGCAAGUCGAACGGGGAUAAGAGGAAACCUAGUGAAUCUUAUCCCAGUGGCGGACGGGUGAGUAACGCGUGGGCAACCUGCCGCAUACCGGGGGAUAACACUUAGAAAUAGGUGCUAAUACCGCAUAAGCGCACAGAGCCGCAUGGCUCGGUGUGAAAAACUCCGGUGGUAUGCGAUGGGCCCGCGUCUGAUUAGCUUGUUGGCGGGGCAGCGGCCCACCAAGGCGACGAUCAGUAGCCGGCCUGAGAGGGUGGACGGCCACAUUGGGACUGAGACACGGCCCAGACUCCUACGGGAGGCAGCAGUGGGGAAUAUUGCACAAUGGGGGGAACCCUGAUGCAGCGACGCCGCGUGAGUGAAGAAGUAUUUCGGUAUGUAAAGCUCUAUCAGCAGGGAAGAAAAUGACGGUACCUGACUAAGAAGCCCCGGCUAACUACGUGCCAGCAGCCGCGGUAAUACGUAGGGGGCAAGCGUUAUCCGGAUUUACUGGGUGUAAAGGGAGCGCAGACGGCUGUGCAAGUCUGGAGUGAAAGGCGGGGGCCCAACCCCCGGACUGCUCUGGAAACUGUAAAGCUGGAGUGCAGGAGAGGUAAGCGGAAUUCCUAGUGUAGCGGUGAAAUGCGUAGAUAUUAGGAGGAACACCAGUGGCGAGGGCGGCUUACUGGACUGCAACUGACGUUGAGGC